UACAUUCGGAAACGGGUGCAAAUACCGCAUAAUUUCUUCUUCCGCAUGGAAGAAGAUUGAAAGACGGCUCUGCUGUCACUUAUAGAUGACCUUGCGGUGCAUUAGUUAGUUGGUGGGGUAACGGCCUACCAAGACGAUGAUGCAUAGCCGACCUGAGAGGGUGAUCGGCCACAUUGGGACUGUGACACGGCCCAAACUCCUACGGGAGGCAGCAGUAGGGAAUCUUCCGCAAUGGGCGAAAGCCUGACGGAGCAAAGCCGCGUGGGUGAAGAAGGCCUUCGGGUCGUAAAACUCUGUUAUAAGAGAAGAACAAAUUGUAGAGUAACUGCUACAGUCUUGACGGUAUCUUAUCAGAAAGCCACGGCUAACUACGUGCCAGCAGCCGCGGUAAUACGUAGGUGGCAAGCGUUGUCCGGAUUUAUUGGUCGUAAAGGGAGCGCAGGUCGUUUCUUAAGU
Molecule: ribosomal RNA, 456 nt
Filed under: Aerococcus viridans
Lineage: Bacteria; Bacillati; Bacillota; Bacilli; Lactobacillales; Aerococcaceae
Description: bacterial SSU rRNA
Rfam family: Bacterial small subunit ribosomal RNA
Source: RNAcentral